This 1585-nucleotide ribosomal RNA is filed under the name Vibrio parahaemolyticus NIHCB0757. RNAcentral describes it as "bacterial SSU rRNA". It matches the Rfam family "Bacterial small subunit ribosomal RNA". The record is from RNAcentral. Lineage: Bacteria; Pseudomonadati; Pseudomonadota; Gammaproteobacteria; Vibrionales; Vibrionaceae.
AGAGUUUGAUCAUGGCUCAGAUUGAACGCUGGCGGCAGGCCUAACACAUGCAAGUCGAGCGGAAACGAGUUAUCAGAACCUUCGGGGGACGAUAACGGCGUCGAGCGGCGGACGGGUGAGUAAUGCCUAGGAAAUUGCCCUGAUGUGGGGGAUAACCAUUGGAAACGAUGGCUAAUACCGCAUGAUGCCUACGGGCCAAAGAGGGGGACCUUCGGGCCUCUCGCGUCAGGUAUUGGCCUUAGGUGCGGAUUAGCUAGCUUGCGUGAGGGUAAGGCGCACCAAGGCGACGAUCCCUAGCUGACGUCUGAGAGGGGAUGAUCAGCACACUGGAACUGAGACACGUCCAGACUGCUACGGGAGGCAGCAGUUGGGGAAUAUUGCACAUAUGGGGCGCAGCCUGAUGCAGGGGCCGAUGCCGCGUGUGUGGAAGAAGGCCUUCGUUUGUAAAGCACUUUCAGUCGUGAGGAAGUGUUGUGUGAGAGGCUGCAUUAUUUGGACGUUAGGCGAAGAAGAACACCGGCUGAACUCGGUGCCAGUUCUCUAUCUUGUCUGUAUGUUGUGUGUGUGUGCUGAGGACGUUCUUGGAGAGAGAGGGGUGGUUGAUUAAGCAGAUGUGAAGAGACUCGGCUCAACCUCGGGAAUGCAUUUGAAACUGGCAACUAUAUAGUCAUACUGUAGAGAGAGGGUGUUACAGCGCUGUAGCGUGAAAGUGCGUAGAGAUCUGAAGGUUUUUUUUUUUUUUUUUUUAAUACCGGUGUACGCAAGGAAGCCCCCUGGAAGAUACGACCACUCAGAGUGACAGAGAAAAGCGUGAGGAGCAAACAGGAUUAGAUACCUGGUAGUCCACGCCGUAAGACGGAAUGAUACGUACAUGUGUGUCGAAGAUAUGUGGCAUUGAGCCGUGGCUCUCUACGAGCUAACGAGUUAAGUAGACCGCCUGGGGAGUACGGUCGCAAGAUUAAACUCCAAAUGAAUUGACGGGGGGCCGCACAAGCGGUGGAGCAUGUGGUUUAAUUCGAUGCAACGCGAAGAACUUUACGCUACUCUUGACAUCCAGAGAACUCUUGCAGAGAUGAUUUGGUGCCGUUCGGAACUCGUUAGGACAGGUGCUGCAUGGCUGUCGUCAGCUCGUGUUGUGAAAUGUUUGGGAAGCCCGAACGAGCGCAACCCUGUACCUGACAGGCGAGUAUUCGGGAACUCAGGGAGAUGCCGGUGAUUAAACCGGAGGAAGUGGGGACGACGUCGUAAAUACAUGCCUGUUUACGAUGGUAGGUACACCUGUGCUAAAUGCGCAUACAGAGGGCGGAACUGCGGAAAGCGAAUCUAGAAAGUGUGUUGUCGGAUUGGCGUCUGACUCGACUCCAUAAGUCGGCAAUCGCUAUAACUUGAAAUGGAACAUCCCUAGGAAGUCACGGUCAAUACGUUCCGGGUCCUUACACAGCCCGUCACCCACAUGAGUGGGCCUUGCACAAGACCGUAGGUCAGCAUUUCCACCUUCUGUGGACCGUACACUUUGUCGUUCCAUGACUGGGCUAGACGUCCGUCACCAACCGUAGCCGCUAGGGGAACUCGCCCUGCCGAAUCC